Molecule: ribosomal RNA, 492 nt
Filed under: uncultured bacterium
Lineage: Bacteria
Description: partial 16S ribosomal RNA
Rfam family: Bacterial small subunit ribosomal RNA
Source: RNAcentral
AGUGAACGCUGGCGGUAGGCCUAACACAUGCAAGUCGAACGGCAGCACAGUAAGAGCUUGCUCUUACGGGUGGCGAGCGGGGGACGGGUGAGGAAUACAUCGGAAUCUACUUUUUCGUGGGGGAUAAUGUAGGGAAACUUACGCGAAUACCGCAUACGACCUACGGGUGAAAGCAGGGGAUCUUCUGACCUUUCGCGAUUGGAUAUGCCGAUGUCGGAUUAGCUAGUUGGCGGGGUAAAGGCGGACCAAGGCGACGAUCCGUACCUGGUCUGAGCGGAUGAACAGGCACACUGGCAGUGAGACACGGCAGCGACAUUGGCGCGGGGAAGCAGUGGGGACUACUAGGCGAUGCGGGAGAGCCUGAUCCAGCCAUAUCGCGGGGAGGAAGACGGCGUUCGGCUGGGAAAACCAUGUUGUUGGGAGGGAAAAACAGCAGUUUAAUCCCCCACUGUACUGACGGUACCCAAAGAAUAAGCACCGGCUAACUUCGUG